GUGCCAGCAGCCGCGGUAAUACGUAGGUGGCAAGCGUUAUCCGGAAUUAUUGGGCGUAAAGCGCGCGUAGGCGGUUUUUUAAGUCUGACGUGAAAGCCCACGGCUCAACCGUGGAGGGUCAUUGGAAACUGGAAAACUUGAGUGCAGAAGAGGAAAGUGGAAUUCCAUGUGUAGCGGUGAAAUGCGCAGAGAUAUGGAGGAACACCAGUGGCGAAGGCGACUUUCUGGUCUGUAACUGACGCUGAUGUGCGAAAGCGUGGGGAUCAAACAGGAUUAGAUAC
Molecule: ribosomal RNA, 281 nt
Filed under: uncultured Staphylococcus sp.
Lineage: Bacteria; Bacillati; Bacillota; Bacilli; Caryophanales; Staphylococcaceae
Description: partial 16S ribosomal RNA
Rfam family: Bacterial small subunit ribosomal RNA
Source: RNAcentral